RNAcentral lists this ribosomal RNA (253 nucleotides) under uncultured bacterium. RNAcentral's name for it is "partial 16S ribosomal RNA". It matches the Rfam family "Bacterial small subunit ribosomal RNA", at positions 524 to 776 of the family's 1533-position model. The record is from RNAcentral.
UACGUAGGGUGCGAGCGUUGUCCGGAAUUAUUGGGCGUAAAGAGCUUGUAGGCGGUCUGUCGCGUCUGCUGUGAAAAUCCGGGGCUCAACCCCGGACUUGCAGUGGGUACGGGCAGACUAGAGUGUGGUAGGGGAGACUGGAAUUCCUGGUGUAGCGGUGAAAUGCGCAGAUAUCAGGAGGAACACCGAUGGCGAAGGCAGGUCUCUGGGCAUUAACUGACGCUGAGGGGCGAAAGCAUGGGGAGCGAACAGG